GAUGAACGCUGGCGGCGUGCUUAACACAUGCAAGUCGAACGAAGCAUUUAGGACAGAUUACUUCGGUUUGAAGUUCUUUAUGACUGAGUGGCGGACGGGUGAGUAACGCGUGGGUAACCUGCCUUGUACUGGGGGAUAGCAGCUGGAAACGGCUGGUAAUACCGCAUAAGCGCACAAUGUUGCAUGACAUGGUGUGAAAAACUCCGGUGGUAUAAGAUGGACCCGCGUCUGAUUAGCUAGUUGGUGAGAUAACAGCCCACCAAGGCGACGAUCAGUAGCCGACCUGAGAGGGUGACCGGCCACAUUGGGACUGAGACACGGCCCAGACUCCUACGGGAGGCAGCAGUGGGGAAUAUUGCACAAUGGAGGAAACUCUGAUGCAGCGACGCCGCGUGAGUGAAGAAGUAAUUCGUUAUGUAAAGCUCUAUCAGCAGGGAAGAUAGUGACGGUACCUGACUAAGAAGCUCUGGCUAAAUACGUG
Molecule: ribosomal RNA, 481 nt
Filed under: uncultured bacterium
Lineage: Bacteria
Description: partial 16S ribosomal RNA
Rfam family: Bacterial small subunit ribosomal RNA
Source: RNAcentral